CAGUAGAGUGGCACCUCAUAUGCUUGAUGCAUAGAGAAAGAGGGAACUCGUUAAGAGUUGGAAUCUUACUAAGUAUCUAUCAAUCAAUCAUCCCGUUUCAUUCCUUUUUUACACUUCUUUAGUAGAGCUUUAGUUACCUAGUCAUUCAAGUCUUUUGUAUGCGCAUCAUAUAUAUCUAUAUCAGAAAGAGAGGCUUUCCAUAUUAGAAAGAAGGGCGAUGGUUAUUAAACGAAAUAAUUUUUUUUUUUAAAUAAUCAAAGAAAUUUUAUUAAUUGAAAAAUCAAGAAAAACUUAUCAUAAAUUUCCUUGGGAAGCUUGACAUUUUG
Molecule: unclassified non-coding RNA, 326 nt
Filed under: Hevea brasiliensis (rubber tree)
Lineage: Eukaryota; Viridiplantae; Streptophyta; Magnoliopsida; Malpighiales; Euphorbiaceae
Source: RNAcentral